CUUUAACACAUGCUCCUAAUCUCCGUCCACCAGGCACCACUUGUUUUCGCCUCUGUGCCAGGACCCGAGCAGAAAGCUGCACUCAGCAGAACAGUGUGGCACAGCAUUAUCAUAGCCUGACGCACCCCAAGCCGCAGCACCCAGCCACUUUACACUUCGAUUGCCACAUGCUAACGAAGCCAACGGGCUUUUGUGAGAGCUUAUCUUGUUUAUCCCUAAUGAGCAAGACAUUGGCGAUAGUGGCAAGAAAAAGACUAUCUGCGAUGGUAUGAGGGAAAAAAACUUGAGAGGAACCAAGCUCAAAAGGGAACCCAUUCUCAUCUG
Molecule: long non-coding RNA, 324 nt
Organism: Silurus meridionalis
Lineage: Eukaryota; Metazoa; Chordata; Actinopteri; Siluriformes; Siluridae
Exons: 3
Source: RefSeq, a predicted model, not a curated record